This 433-nucleotide ribosomal RNA is filed under the name uncultured bacterium. RNAcentral's name for it is "partial 16S ribosomal RNA". It matches the Rfam family "Bacterial small subunit ribosomal RNA", at positions 29 to 507 of the family's 1533-position model. The record is from RNAcentral.
AACGAACGCUGGCGGCAUGCCUAACACAUGCAAGUCGAACGAGACCUUCGGGUCUAGCGGCGCACGGGUGCGUAACGCGUGGGAACCUGCCCUUAGGUUCGGAAUAACUCCCCGAAAGGGGUGCUAAUACCGGAUAAUGUCUUCGGACCAAAGAUUUAUCGCCUUUGGAUGGGCCCGCGUUGGAUUAGCUAGUUGGUAGGGUAAAAGCCUACCAAGGCGACGAUCCAUAGCUGGUCUGAGAGGAUGAUCAGCCACACUGGGACUGAGACACGGCCCAGACUCCUACGGGAGGCAGCAGUGGGGAAUAUUGGACAAUGGGCGAAAGCCUGAUCCAGCAAUGCCGCGUGAGUGAUGAAGGCAUUAGGGUUGUAAAGCUCUUUUACCCGGGAUGAUAAUGACAGUACCGGGAGAAUAAGCUCCGGCUAACUCCGUG